Molecule: signal recognition particle RNA, 274 nt
Filed under: Pongo abelii (Sumatran orangutan)
Lineage: Eukaryota; Metazoa; Chordata; Mammalia; Primates; Hominidae
Description: Metazoan signal recognition particle RNA (ENSPPYG00000040024.1)
Rfam family: Metazoan signal recognition particle RNA
About the family: The signal recognition particle (SRP) is a universally conserved ribonucleoprotein.
Source: Rfam by way of RNAcentral
GCCGGGCAUGGUGGCGCGUGCCUGUAAUCCAGGCUACUUGUGAGGCUGAGGCAAGAGGACUGCUUGACCUGGGGAGGCGGAGGUUACAGUGAGGUGAGAUGGCGCCACUACACUCCAGCCUGGGCAACAGAGUCAGACUCUGUCUCAAUUUUUUUUUUUUUUUUUUUUUUUUUGAGAUGGAGUUUCGCUCUGUUGCCCAGGCUGGAGUGCAGUGGUGUGAUCUCGGCUCACUGCAAGCUCCGCUUCCCAGGUUCACGGCAUUCUCCUGCCUCAG